Molecule: ribosomal RNA, 406 nt
Filed under: uncultured bacterium
Lineage: Bacteria
Description: partial 16S ribosomal RNA
Rfam family: Bacterial small subunit ribosomal RNA
Source: RNAcentral
AUUGAACGCUGGCGGCAUGCUUUACACAUGCAAGUCGGACGAGUGGCGAACGGGUGAGUAACGUAUCGGAACGUACCGAGUAAUGGGGGAUAACUAAUCGAAAGAGUAGCUAAUACCGCAUAUUAUUCGAGCGGCCGAUAUCGGAUUAGCUGGUUGGUGGGGUAAAGGCCUACCAAGGCGACGAUCAGUAGCGGGUCUGAGAGGAUGACCAGCCACACUGGGACUGAGACACGGUCCAGACUCCUACGGGAGGCAGCAGUGGGGAAUUUUGGACAAUGGGCGCAAGCCUGAUCCAGCCAUGCCGCGUGUCUGAAGAAGGCCUUCGGGUUGUAAAGGACUUUUGUCAGGGAAGCGGUACCUGAAGAAUAAGCACCGGCUAACUCCGUGCCAGCAGCCGCGGUAAUAC